Molecule: long non-coding RNA, 165 nt
Organism: Etheostoma spectabile (orangethroat darter)
Lineage: Eukaryota; Metazoa; Chordata; Actinopteri; Perciformes; Percidae
Exons: 3
Source: RefSeq, a predicted model, not a curated record
GGCUUUUGCAAUUAAAAUGGCAUGGUUUUAUUUCAGUUAGCCUAAUAGUGGUCGGAUUUGCAUUGACAGAUGAUUUUAUGUGAAGUACCCAAUGCCAAUCUCUAUGUAUAGUGAAGGGUAUGUAAUGAUGUGGGGGGAGGGGAUAUUUUAAUUCCAAAGGCCAAA